This is a non-coding RNA of Lactuca sativa (garden lettuce), 1673 nucleotides long. NCBI's taxonomy places the organism in Eukaryota, Viridiplantae, Streptophyta, Magnoliopsida, Asterales, Asteraceae. The record is from RefSeq and is a predicted model, not a curated record.
CCCCAAAACUAUGUAGUCUUGGAUUAAAUUUCUCAAAAAAAAAAAAAAAAAUACAUCGGAAAUGAAGUUUAUCAAGCCCCCAAUCAAUUCUUCGUCUUUAGCUCUUCUGUGUUAGCUCGUAUCAACCAACAGGUGAGGUGAUCGUUGGGGAUUUGAGUUAACAUCCGAUUAUUUGAUCAUCCAACAGGUGCAUCAGGGUGAAUGUGAUGAUGGUGGACGGCCUAGAAGCUCGUAUAGCGAUGGGUAUGUAUAUGGGUAUUCAUAAUCCGACUACUCUUCGCUCAACUCCCUCUUUCAUGCGCACGAAGCUCCGAGCCAAACCUAGUGCUGCCCUUAUUGCUUCUUCUCGGACAGAAGGUCGAACAGUUGGUGGGCUGCUGUUGCAACCAAAGCAUGACCUAAACGAAGUAAAGGGAGAUGAUGAUACUGUUAAUAAUAUCAUCAUCAAGAAGAAGAAAAGGGUGUUCUUUUUGGAUGUAAACCCAAUCUGUUAUGAUGGUAGCACCCCGAGUUUACACUCUUUUGCUCACUGGAUUUUCCUUUUCUUCUCCGAAGUCAGCCUUACAGACCCUGUUAUUGUCGUAAGCACCACCUCUCCCCAUUACGUUUCUAUGCCAAAUUUUAAGCCCAACAGGCCAAUUGUUUUAUCUCAAUGAGAGUUUGGUCGUUUUAGAUAACUCAGUGAUUUAAGUCAAAAUCUUUGGAUUUUAAGGUAUCUGAAAGACUUUUUGGAAGCAAUCUUAUCAAAUAUAGCUCUUUUUUCUGGCAGAGAAGUAGAAGAAGUGCACUGGAAUCUUCAGUUGAUUGCUAAGCUGUUGUAGUAUUUUAUCCAUAUGUUUUAGUUGAUUUCAGCAAUAGUUUAUGCACCCUUAUGAAUAUUGAGCUCAUUUCAUUAUUAAUGGAAUCUCGCUAGGCUGCUGUAGUACUAUAUCCAUUCAACAAUCUCGCUAGGCUGCUGUAGUACUAUAUCCAUUCAACAAGUGUGAUCCACUCUCUAAUUUAAGACUUAGAUGCAUUUUGGGUGAUGAAGCAGAUGGUGUUCCUAGAAUUCAACAUCUGGUGCCUGGUUUUGGCAUGAAAACUGCCUUAAAACUUAUAAAGAAAAUUGUCCUGCUUCUGCAAUACCUGUGGUUUUUAAUGCUUUGAAAUUAUUUGUAUUGCAGGGAUGUUAACAUUAGGAUACAGGAAGAGUGGUUGCAUAAGAGACACAAACAGAACGAUUCAGAAAUUAUAUCAAGCUUCCUUGAUUUAUUGGGGGAAACUCGUUGUUCCAAAGCUCACUGGAUUCAUAUCUAGCCCUUGUGAAACUUUCUCUGUGUAGGCUCUUGGAGUCCCUGUUCACCAUGAUGUAUAUCAGAUUAGAGCAUCCCAUAUACCACCUAGAAAACUAGUUUAUUGACCCAUCAAGGAAUUAAAGCCAAGAUAGCCAUUAAAUGGGGAAAGCCUCAUUUCUUACUUUCUGUAUUAAGUUCAGUUGUUUUUUUUUUGUUUUUUUUUUCUGUUGAAGUCAAAAAGAAACUCAUGUGUAUAGCUAAUUGGAUUGACCGAAGGGUAAAUUGGUCAUUUAUUCAUAUUUUAGAUAGUUCAUUAGUUCAAUAAGGAAAUACCCCUGUAUAGUUUAUAGUUUACUUAAUUAAAUGACCAUUUAAUCAAAGGUUAAAACGGUUAUUACU